ACAAGGGUGCCCUCUCCUUGUCUACAAGAAGAAUGGGUCACUUGAGUACACAGCCACAUGGCAGCCACCUCCAAGCCAAGAGGACACGACUCAGGGUAAACCAGCAUCUUAAUGAGGGGCUCUUAGGCUCCAGCACUGUGGGAGUGUCUUGUUGCCAGUCUGGGCUGCUGUAACAAAUACCAUGGACUAGAAGGCGUUAUGAAAGACAUUUAUCUGCCCGAAUUCUGGAGAUGGAGAAGUCCAAGACUAAGAGAGAACAUUUUUCGUGGUACGUGCUCCAGGCUUUUUCUGCAUUCUGGCCGUGGUUUUGCUUUAUCUGCAUGAAGACAUUGGAAAGCUCUUUGACCGGAAGGAUGUUGGCAGCCUCUUGCAAAGGAGCGAUUCUCCCUCUCUGAAGGGCUAAAGGGGAGGCUGUAAUGUGGGAAGAGGAGGAAAAUGUUCACUUCUUCAUCUCUGAAAAAAAGAAAAGUUGCUGGUGCUGCUCUAAAUGUGGACAGGCUGAUCUACCUCCAUGAUUAUAAAAACAAAUCUUCCCUUUUGCAUUUAAAAUGAAGCAUAUCUGUCUGCAAUUUCUUCUGCCUGGUUUUCCAUAAUUUCUAAUUUCUUUAUAAUGAACAUGU
This is a long non-coding RNA of Suricata suricatta (meerkat), 620 nucleotides long. RefSeq lists it as uncharacterized. The record is from RefSeq and is a predicted model, not a curated record. NCBI's taxonomy places the organism in Eukaryota, Metazoa, Chordata, Mammalia, Carnivora, Herpestidae. The transcript is spliced from 3 exons.